GGCGAACGCUGGCGGCGUGCCUAAUACAUGCAAGUCGAGCGAGCGGAACUAACAGAUUUACUUCGGUAAUGACGUUAGGAAAGCGAGCGGCGGAUGGGUGAGUAACACGUGGGGAAUCUGUCCCAUAGUCUGGGAUACCACUUGGAAACAGGUGCUAAUACCGGAUAAGAAAGCAGAUCGCAUGAUCAGCUUUUAAAAGGCGGCGUAAGCUGUCGCUAUGGGAUGGCCCCGCGGUGCAUUAGCUAGUUGGUAAGGUAAAGGCUUACCAAGGCGAUGAUGCAUAGCCGAGUUGAGAGACUGAUCGGCCACAUUGGGACUGAGACACGGCCCAAACUCCUACGGGAGGCAGCAGUAGGGAAUCUUCCACAAUGGACGCAAGUCUGAUGGAGCAACGCCGCGUGAGUGAAGAAGGUUUUCGGAUCGUAAAGCUCUGUUGUUGGUGAAGGAGGAUAGAGGUAGUAACUGGCCUUUAUUUGACGGUAAUCAACCAGAAAGUCACGGCUAACUACGUGCCAGCAGCCGCGGUAAUACGUAGGUGGCAAGCGUUGUCCGGAUUUAUUGGGCGUAAAGCGAGCGCAGGCGGAAGAAUAAGCCUGAUGUGAAAGCCCUCGGCUUAACCGAGGAACUGCAUCGGAAACUGUUUUUCUUGAGUGCAGAAGAGGAGAGUGGAACUCCAUGUGUAGCGGUGGAAUGCGUAGAUAUAUGGAAGAACACCAGUGGCGAAGGCGGCUCUCUGGUCUGCAACUGACGCUGAGGCCCGAAAGCAUGGGUAGCGAACAGGAUUAGAUACCCUGGUAGUCCAUGCCGUAAACGAUGAGUGCUAAGUGAUGGGGGGUUUCCGCCUCUCAGUGCUGCAGCUAACGCAUUAAGCACUCCGCCUGGGGAGUACGACCGCAAGGUUGAAACUCAAAGGAAUUGACGGGGGCCCGCACAAGCGGUGGAGCAUGUGGUUUAAUUCGAAGCAACGCGAAGAACCUUACCAGGUCUUGACAUCUAGUGCCAUUUGUAGAGAUACAAAGUUCCCUUCGGGGACGCUAAGACAGGUGGUGCAUGGCUGUCGUCAGCUCGUGUCGUGAGAUGUUGGGUUAAGUCCCGCAACGAGCGCAACCCUUGUUAUUAGUUGCCAGCAUUAAGUUGGGCACUCUAAUGAGACUGCCGGUGACAAACCGGAGGAAGGUGGGGAUGACGUCAAGUCAUCAUGCCCCUUAUGACCUGGGCUACACACGUGCUACAAUGGGCAGUACAACGAGAAGCGAGCCUGCGAAGGCAAGCGAAUCUCUGAAAGCUGUUCUCAGUUCGGACUGCAGUCUGCAACUCGACUGCACGAAGCUGGAAUCGCUAGUAAUCGCGGAUCAGCACGCCGCGGUGAAUACGUUCCCGGGCCUUGUACACACCGCCCGUCACACCAUGGGAGUCUGCAAUGCCCAAAGCCGGUGGCCUAACCUUCGGGAAGGAGCCGUCUAAGGCAGGGCAGAUGACUGGGGUGAAGUCGUAACAAGGUAGCCGUAGGAGAACC
RNAcentral lists this ribosomal RNA (1516 nucleotides) under uncultured bacterium. Its description in RNAcentral is "bacterial SSU rRNA". It matches the Rfam family "Bacterial small subunit ribosomal RNA". The record is from RNAcentral.